AUUUGACAUAUUUUGGAUGUGAAAAAUGUGUUAAUGGUUUUAGGAUGCAUGUAUGGAUAAUAGGAGAAUGUAGAGGAAAAGAAACUGGUUAACAAAUUAAUGUUGAUUCCUCAUGUAAAGUAGUCCAUUUUGUUCUUGGAGUAUGAACUCCUUUGCUCAUGGUCUUUUAGGUUAGUACCAUAAUGUCUAGGCCUAGGAUGGCUCUGACCAGUUUUAUUUUGUGUCCGAGGCAAUUCCCUGCUUGUAAAGUUGUGGAUUACUAUCAGGAAGUAUACGUGAUUGAUUAUUUAGAAUUUGGUUCUAGUUUUUAUAAGUGUCAUGCCAACUACAAAGUUUGACGAAGGAUGGUCAUGUGAAGGUAGUCAAGCUAUCAAUUAUUUAUCUGUAGCAUCUUAUUUGCUGAGGACAUCAAAGUUAUGAAAAAAGUAGAUUUACACAGCCUGUGCAAAAUCAUUUGUAGGGAUGCAAUUUCACAUUUUAACUUUGGGUAUAUAUCCUCCCAAAAUUUUUAAAUCACAGAUAAGUUGAAGUUGUGUUUGACUAUAGCUUGGUGACUACAUCAGCUGCAUCUCUUUUUUAGCACAUUAGCAGUUGAAA
RNAcentral lists this unclassified non-coding RNA (597 nucleotides) under Hevea brasiliensis (rubber tree). Lineage: Eukaryota; Viridiplantae; Streptophyta; Magnoliopsida; Malpighiales; Euphorbiaceae. The record is from RNAcentral.